UUGAUGUAUUCUAAAAUAUGAACAAUUCAGAUUAUCAAAAUGGACCCCAAAAUGGGCCCAUUGUGCCGCAUAGCAGCAUCCUCACUUCCUUCUUUUUCUUAAACCUCUGUUCUCAAACUAGGAACGGGUUUACUCUCUUUCUAUCUCUUCACCUUAUUCACACCAAACUCAUAUUCAGAAAACUCACCCUCAAACUCUGACCAACAACUUCUUCAAUUGCAUUAAUCCAACAAACCCAUUACCCUUUAAUGCAUUCAUCUCAGAUUUUCGUCUAAAAGGGUGUUUUUCUCUCACUCUCCAAACCUUCGCUUUCAUACACAUCAAUGGGGGUUCCUAUGGUUGAAUUUGGACCAAAGAAUUCUCACAAACUCAAAAAAGCAUAAAAUAUUCU
Non-coding RNA from Camellia sinensis, 391 nucleotides. The record is from RefSeq and is a predicted model, not a curated record. NCBI's taxonomy places the organism in Eukaryota, Viridiplantae, Streptophyta, Magnoliopsida, Ericales, Theaceae.